GAUGAACGCUGGCGGCGUGCCUAAUACAUGCAAGUCGGGCGAACGGACGAGAAGCUUGCUUCUCUGAUGUUAGCGGCGGACGGGUGAGUAACACGUGGAUAACCUACCUAUAAGACUGGGAUAACUUCGGGAAACCGUAGCUAAUACCGGAUAAUAUUUUGAACCGCAUGGUUCAAAAGUGAAAGACGGUCUUGCUGUCACUUAUAGAUGGAUCCGCGCUGCAUUAGCUAGUUGGUAAGGUAACGGCUUACCAAGGCAACGAUGCAUAGCCGACCUGAGAGGGUGAUCGGCCACACGGGAACUGGGACAGGGUCCAGAGUCCUACGGGAGGCAGCAGUAGGGAAUCUUACGCAGUGGGCGAAAGCCUGACGGAGCAACGCCGCGUGAGUGAUGAAGGUCUUCGGAUCGUAAAACUCUGUUAUUAGGGAAGAACAUAUGUGUAAGUAACUGUGCACAUCUUGACGGUACCUAAUCAGAAAGCCACGGCUAACUACGUG
This 497-nucleotide ribosomal RNA is filed under the name uncultured bacterium. RNAcentral describes it as "partial 16S ribosomal RNA". It matches the Rfam family "Bacterial small subunit ribosomal RNA", at positions 28 to 507 of the family's 1533-position model. The record is from RNAcentral.